RNAcentral lists this ribosomal RNA (460 nucleotides) under uncultured bacterium. RNAcentral's name for it is "partial 16S ribosomal RNA". It matches the Rfam family "Bacterial small subunit ribosomal RNA", at positions 338 to 795 of the family's 1533-position model. The record is from RNAcentral.
CCUACGGGUGGCAGCAGUGAGGAAUAUUGGUCAAUGGACGAGAGUCUGAACCAGCCAAGCCGCGUGAAGGAAGAAUGCACAAUGGGUUGUAAACUUCUUUUAUAUGGGAAUAAAACAGGGUAUGCAUACCCUCUUGUGUGUACCAUAUGAAUAAGCAUCGGCUAACUCCGUGCCAGCAGCCGCGGUAAUACGGAGGAUCCGAGCGUUAUCCGGAUUUAUUGGGUUUAAAGGGGGCGUAGGUGGAUUGUUAAGUCAGUUGUGAAAGGUUGCGGCUCAACCGUAAAAUUGCAGUUGAAACUGGCAGUCUUGAGUACAGUAGAGGUGGGCGGAAUGCGUGGUGUAGCGGUGAAAUGCUUAGAUAUCACGAAGAACCCCGAUUGCGAAGGCAGCUCACUGGACUGCAACUGACACUGAGGCUCGAAAGUGUGGGUAUCAAACAGGAUUAGAUACCCUAGUAGUC